RNAcentral lists this ribosomal RNA (253 nucleotides) under uncultured bacterium. RNAcentral describes it as "partial 16S ribosomal RNA". It matches the Rfam family "Bacterial small subunit ribosomal RNA", at positions 524 to 776 of the family's 1533-position model. The record is from RNAcentral.
UACGCAGGGGGCUAGCGUUGCUCGGAAUCACUGGGCGUAAAGCGCACGUAGGCGGCUUUUUAAGUCAGGGGUGAAAUCCUGGAGCUCAACUCCAGAACUGCCUUUGAUACUGGGAAGCUCGAGUCCGGGAGAGGUGAGUGGAACUCCGAGUGUAGAGGUGAAAUUCGUAGAUAUUCGGAAGAACACCAGUGGCGAAGGCGGCUCACUGGCCCGGUACUGACGCUGAGGUGCGAAAGCGUGGGGAGCAAACAGG